Molecule: ribosomal RNA, 304 nt
Filed under: uncultured bacterium
Lineage: Bacteria
Description: partial 16S ribosomal RNA
Rfam family: Bacterial small subunit ribosomal RNA
Source: RNAcentral
CAGCAGUCGCCACGGGAAUACGAGGGGGGCAAGCGUUGUUCGGAAUUAUUGGGCGUAAAGGGCGCGUAGGCGGUUUGGCAAGUUUCGUGUGAAAUCUUCGGGCUCAACUCGAAGUCUGCACGGAAAACUGCCGGGCUUGAGUAUGGGAGAGGUGAGUGGAAUUUCCGGUGUAGCGGUGAAAUGCGUAGAUAUCGGAAGGAACACCUGUGGCGAAAGCGGCUCACUGGACCAUAACUGACGCUGAUGCGCGAAAGCUAGGGGAGCAAACAGGAUUAGAUACCCCCGUAGUCCCUGUCUCUUAUAC